GGGGCUUUGUUGCGGUUUUCACACGCCAGCUUCCUACUUCUUUUUGGCAGCCGCCUUCUUGGCCUUUGCAGCUUUAGGUUUUGCUGCUUUGGGCUUAGCGGCUUUGGGCUUUGCCGCCUUCGGCUUAACUGCCUUGGGCUUGGCAGGACUCUUGGUUGCCUUUUUCGGUUUGGCAGCGGCCUUGGCCUUCUUAGGGCUCUUCGCCACCUUUUUGACGCCAGCCGCCGCGGGCUUCUUCGCCUUCUUCGGAGUCUUCUUCACUGCCUUUUUCGCCCCUGCAGCCUUCUUGGCCUUCUUAGGCGUGGCCCCCGCGGGCUUCUUAGCUUUAGCGGCGCCUGCCUUCUUGGCUUUGGGCUUGGCUUCCCCGGAGGCCGCCUUCUUGUUG
This 385-nucleotide long non-coding RNA is filed under the name Homo sapiens (human). Its description in RNAcentral is "LHRI_LNC1151.1". Lineage: Eukaryota; Metazoa; Chordata; Mammalia; Primates; Hominidae. The record is from RNAcentral.